GACGAACGCUGGCGGCGUGCUUAACACAUGCAAGUCGAACGGAAAGGCCCUGCUUGCAGGGUACUCGAGUGGCGAACGGGUGAGUAACACGUGGGUGAUCUGCCCUGCACUUCGGGAUAAGCCUGGGAAACUGGGUCUAAUACCGGAUAGGAGCCAUUUUUAGUGUGAUGGUUGGAAAGUUUUUUCGGUGUAGGAUGAGCUCGCGGCCUAUUAGCUUGUUGGUGGGGUAAUGGCCUACCAAGGCGGCGACGGGUAGCCGGCCUGAGAGGGUGGACGGCCACAUUGGGACUGAGAUACGGCCCAGACUCCUACGGGAGGCAGCAGUGGGGAAGAUUGCACAAUGGGCGCAAGCCUGAUGCAGCGACGCCGCGUGGGGGAUGACGGCCUUCGGGUUGUAAACUCCUUUCGCUAGGGACGAAGCUUUUUGUGACGGUACCUAGAUAAGAAGCACCGGCUAACUACGUG
This 465-nucleotide ribosomal RNA is filed under the name uncultured bacterium. Its description in RNAcentral is "partial 16S ribosomal RNA". It matches the Rfam family "Bacterial small subunit ribosomal RNA", at positions 28 to 507 of the family's 1533-position model. The record is from RNAcentral.